RNAcentral lists this ribosomal RNA (456 nucleotides) under uncultured Legionella sp. Its description in RNAcentral is "bacterial SSU rRNA". It matches the Rfam family "Bacterial small subunit ribosomal RNA", at positions 335 to 783 of the family's 1533-position model. Lineage: Bacteria; Pseudomonadati; Pseudomonadota; Gammaproteobacteria; Legionellales; Legionellaceae. The record is from RNAcentral.
UCUCCUACGGGAGGCAGCAGUGGGGAAUAUUGGNCAAUGGGGGGAACCGUGAUCCAGCAAUNNCGCGUGUGUGAAGAAGGCCUGAGGGUUGUAAAGCACUUUCAGUGGGGAGGAGUGGUGACUGGUUAAGAGGUGGUUAGCAGGACGUUACCCACAGAAGCAGCACCGGCUAAAUCCGUGCCAGCAGCCGCGGUAAUACGGAGGGGGCAAGCGUUAUUUGGAAUUACUGGGGGUAAAGGGGGCGUAGGUGGUUGUAUAAGUUAACUGUGAAAUCCCCGGGCUCAACCUGGGCAGGUCAGUUAAGACUGUAUGACUCGAGUAUGCGAGAGGGUAGUGGAAUUUUCGGUGUAGCGGUGAAAUGCGUAGAGAUCGGAAGGAACACCAGUGGGGAAGGGGGGUACCUGGCCUAAUAAAGACACUGAGGCGCGAAAGCGUGGGGAGCAAACACGAUUAGAU